RNAcentral lists this ribosomal RNA (569 nucleotides) under Capra aegagrus (wild goat). RNAcentral's name for it is "12S ribosomal RNA". It matches the Rfam family "Bacterial small subunit ribosomal RNA", at positions 9 to 957 of the family's 1533-position model. Lineage: Eukaryota; Metazoa; Chordata; Mammalia; Artiodactyla; Bovidae. The record is from RNAcentral.
CAUAGGUUUGGUCCCAGCCUUCCUGUUAACUCUCAACAGACUUACACAUGCAAGCAUCCACGCCCCGGUGAGUAACGCCCUCCAAAUCAAUAAGACUAAGAGGAGCAGGUAUCAAGCACACAUCUUGUAGCUUACAACGCCUUGCUUAACCACACCCCUACGGGAGACAGCAGUGACAAAAAUUAAGCCAUAAACGAAAGUUUGACUAAGCCAUGUUGACUAGGGUUGGUAAAUCUCGUGCCAGCCACCGCGGUCAUACGAUUAACCCAAGCUAACAGGAAUACGGCGUAAAACGUGUUAAAGCACUACAUCAAAUAGAGUUAAAUUCUAAUUAAACUGUAAAAAGCCAUAAUUACAACAAAAAUAGAUGACGAAAGUAACCCUACUGCAGCUGAUACACUAUAGCUAAGACCCAAACUGGGAUUAGAUACCCCACUAUGCUUAGCCCUAAACACAAAUAAUUACAGAAACAAAAUUAUUCGCCAGAGUACUACCGGCAACAGCCCGAAACUCAAAGGACUUGGCGGUGCUUUAUACCCUUCUAGAGGAGCCUGUUCUAUAAUCGAUAA